GCCUACAUGAAGCUGGAACUGCUAGUAAUCACAGGUCAGCAUACUGUGGUGAAUACGUUCCCGGGCCUUGUACACACCGCCCGUCACACCAUGAGAGUCGAUAACACCCGAAGCCUGUGAGCUAACCUUUUAGGAGGCAGCAGUCGAAGGUGGGGUUGAUGAUUGGGGUGAAGUCGUAACAAGGUAUC
RNAcentral lists this ribosomal RNA (188 nucleotides) under uncultured bacterium. RNAcentral describes it as "partial 16S ribosomal RNA". It matches the Rfam family "Bacterial small subunit ribosomal RNA", at positions 1314 to 1500 of the family's 1533-position model. The record is from RNAcentral.